This 440-nucleotide ribosomal RNA is filed under the name uncultured bacterium. RNAcentral's name for it is "partial 16S ribosomal RNA". It matches the Rfam family "Bacterial small subunit ribosomal RNA", at positions 338 to 795 of the family's 1533-position model. The record is from RNAcentral.
CCUACGGGAGGCAGCAGUGGGGGAUAUUGCACAAUGGGGGAAACCCUGAUGCAGCGACGCCGCGUGGGUGAAGAAGCGCCUAGGCGCGUAAAGCCCUGUCAGCAGGGAAGAAAAUGACGGUACCUGAAGCAGAAGCCCAGCCUAACUACGUGAACGCAGCCGCGGUAAUACGUAGGGGCCAAGCGUAAUCCGGAUUUACUGGGUGUAAAGGGGGCGCAGACGGCGAUGCAGGCCAGGAGUGAAAGCCCGGGGCCGAACCCCGGGACUGCCGUUGGAACUGCGUGGCUAGAGUGCAGGAGGGGCAGGCGGAAUUCCUGGUGUAGCGGUGAAAUGCGUAGAUAUCAGGAGGAACACCGGUGGCGAAGGCGGCCUGCUGGACUGCAACUGACGUUGAGGCCCGAAAGCGUGGGUAUCAAACAGGAUUAGAUACCCUAGUAGUC